AUGAACGCUGGCGGCGUGCCUAAUACAUGCAAGUCGAACGGAGAUUGUAGCAAUACAUUCUUAGUGGCGAACGGGUGAGUAACGCGUUGGUGACCUGCCCCGAAGUGUGGGAUAACAACUCGAAAGGGUUGCUAAUACCGCAUGUGGUUUUUCGGAUUAGAUGCCGAAUUUCUAAAGGAGAAAUUCGCUUCGGGAGGGGCCUGCGUCCCAUCAGCUAGUUGGUAGGGUAAUGGCCUACCAAGGCGAUGACGGGUAGGGGACCUGAGAGGGUGACCCCCCACAAUGGAACUGAAACACGGUCCAUACACCUACGGGUGGCAGCAGUAGGGAAUAUUGGUUAAUGGGCGAAAGCCUGAACCAGCAACGCCGCGUGUGCGAUGACGGCCUUCGGGUUGUAAAGCACUUUUUGAGGGGAUGAGGAAGGACAGUACCCUCAGAAUAAGUCUCGGCUAACUACGU
This 459-nucleotide ribosomal RNA is filed under the name uncultured bacterium. RNAcentral describes it as "bacterial SSU rRNA". It matches the Rfam family "Bacterial small subunit ribosomal RNA", at positions 29 to 506 of the family's 1533-position model. The record is from RNAcentral.